GCCGUUGUAUAGCAGUGGUUAGCUUGUCGCCCUCCGAUGCUUUCGGAGGUAGGCGGAGGUAAGCUUGCCCAUCCAUGCCAGACAAGUCCCCCAGGUAUAAUUAAAAUAACUAAAGUGUGGAAUUCGGCGGAAUCAGACCCGGGUUCGAAUCCCGGCAGCGGUG
This is a transfer RNA of Gaeumannomyces graminis, 163 nucleotides long. It matches the Rfam family "tRNA". From Rfam's summary of the family: Transfer RNA (tRNA) molecules are approximately 80 nucleotides in length. The record is from Rfam. Lineage: Eukaryota; Fungi; Ascomycota; Sordariomycetes; Magnaporthales; Magnaporthaceae.